UACGGAGGGGGCGAGCGUUAUUCGGAAUUAUUGGGCGUAAAGGGCGCGUAGGCGACUGAACAAGUCAAAGGUGAAAUCCCUCGGCUCAACUGAGGAACUGCCUUUGAAACUGUUCGGCUUGAGGCCGGGAGGGGGUAGCGGAAUUCCCAGUGUAGCGGUGAAAUGCGUAGAUAUUGGGAGGAACACCAGUGGCGAAGGCGGCUACCUGGACCGGUUCUGACGCUGAGGCGCGAAAGCGUGGGUAGCAAACAGG
This 253-nucleotide ribosomal RNA is filed under the name uncultured bacterium. RNAcentral's name for it is "partial 16S ribosomal RNA". It matches the Rfam family "Bacterial small subunit ribosomal RNA", at positions 524 to 776 of the family's 1533-position model. The record is from RNAcentral.